UAAUACGGGGGGUGCGAGCGUUGUCCGGAAUCACUGGGCGUAAAGGGCGCGUAGGUGGUUUGAUAAGGGUGUGGUGAAAGUCCGGGGCUCAACCCCGGAUCUGCCGUGCCGACUGUCAAACUCGAGGACUGUAGAGGCAGACGGAAUUCCGGGUGUAGCGGUGGAAUGCGUAGAGAUCCGGAGGAAGACCGGUGGCGAAGGCGGUCUGCUGGGCAGUUUCUGACACUGAGGCGCGACAGCGUGGGGAGCAAACAGGAUUAGAUACCCUGGUAGUCCACGCCGUAAACGAUGGGCACUAGGCGUCGGGGGGAGCGACCCUCCCGGUGCCGUCGCUAACGCAGUAAGUGCCCCGCCUGGGGAGUACGGCCGCAAGGCUG
Molecule: ribosomal RNA, 377 nt
Filed under: uncultured bacterium
Lineage: Bacteria
Description: bacterial SSU rRNA
Rfam family: Bacterial small subunit ribosomal RNA
Source: RNAcentral